Non-coding RNA from Podarcis muralis (Common wall lizard), 915 nucleotides. NCBI's taxonomy places the organism in Eukaryota, Metazoa, Chordata, Lepidosauria, Squamata, Lacertidae. The record is from RefSeq and is a predicted model, not a curated record.
CGGAUUCUGUUCCGAGAAUAAGGGGGGGGGUGAGCUCCCUCCCAAACUGCCUGCUUCUCCCGGAAGAGGAGCUUCUGCGCCGGAUUUCGGAGGAGGGGCGGCAGGGGAGGAUACCCCCCCCCCGUGGAUGUUGCAGGAAAGGAAAGGAGAAUCGCGAGGGAGGACAAAGAGGGCCUUUGUUCACCUGCAGCAGAAUUCCCUAAUACACCAAGGAUUUGAGACCCAUCAUCUAUCCUCACCUGGUUUUGCCGGCCAGUUGAAGCCGUUCCUGGGAUUGUGGUCCCUAUUCCAUCCUGACAGCUUCUGGAAUACACAGUUCUCUUCCUUGAAACCUAAACAGGAUUUCCGUUCCUCCCACUCUGAAGAAGGAGAUGGAGAAGACACUUCAAACCCCAGUGAAUGGGGCACCUUUCGUAUCAUUAGGAAUAGAAAAAAAAGAGUGUGAAAUGCAGAAAAUGCUUCAUUGAAUGAGCACCCAUAGUUCACAUCAACGACGUCCAACAGGGGGAAAACCAUUUAAAGGUAUGGAGUGUGGGAAAAGUUUCCCUGAUAGUGGAAAACUUAGAACACAUCAGCGGACUCACAUGGGCAAGAAAGAAUUCCAAUGCAGGGAGUGUGGGAAGAACUUCAGUCAACAUGGACACUUAAGUUUACAUCAACAGUUUCACACAGGGGAAAAACCUUUUAAAUGUCUGGAUUGUGGAAAGAGCUUCAGUCGGAGUGAUAAACUUAGAGCACAUCAAUGGACUCACACGGGGGAGAAACCUUUUAAAUGCAUGGAUUGUGGAAAGAGCUUCUGUCGGAGUGAUACACUUAGAAGUCAUCAGAGGAUUCAUACAGGGGAGAAACCUUUUAAAUGUCUGGAUUGUGGAAAGAGCUUCAGUCAGAAUGGAGACUUAAGUUUACAUCAGCGGA